This 1089-nucleotide long non-coding RNA is filed under the name Sus scrofa (pig). Its description in RNAcentral is "lncRNA (ENSSSCG00055006864.1)". Lineage: Eukaryota; Metazoa; Chordata; Mammalia; Artiodactyla; Suidae. The record is from RNAcentral.
GCGGGGGAGGGGCGGGGGAGAAAAGGGGACUUGGCUGCCCUCCACCCAGAGGCCUGCAUGCACAUCCAGCCGACACACUGGCUCUAAUCCCUGCUCCUUUGACGCACUCAUUUUCUGGUUUUUCACAAAGGCCGACUGUGCUCCCAGCAGCUGCAGCUGCUCAGGGCCCCAGGGAGGCUGUGGGAAGGGUCGCGGGGACGCUGGCAGCUGCGGGAAAAGACUCUGAGCACCUGUCCCUCUCCUCUGGGUGCUCGCCCCUCCCCCGGCCUAUGCAUUUUCCUGCCGAGGUGCAGUGGUCGGUGAGGGGAAGGGAGGGCAUGGGGGAGCUCGCGCUGCGGCCCAGUGGACUAGGGAGGCGGGUUGCAUCCCCUGCCGGGGAUCUGACAUCGGAUCGGAUCCUUGCCCCAGGAACUUCCAUGUGCCAUGGGUGCAGCCAUAAAGCAACAACAGCAGCAGCAGCAGCAGCAGCAGCAACAAGAACAAGAGCAUCUGCUUUCAGACAGCCACACCCAAGGCCCUCUGUGAGACAACUGGGGCGCAGAGGGCUGGACUCUCGUCCAAGAUCUGAUGACUAGUAAGUGCAGGAGACUCCCCUCCAAGAACCUGGUCCUCUUGGAAGAAGGUAGGAGGAAGUUCACCCUGGCUGUCCUGGUCUUUGUGCAGAAACAAGACAUGGCUCUUUGUCACCAGUGCUUGCUGAGCCUCAGUCCCUUCAUCUCUCCUCCCACUGCCAGGGUAAGUCAGUGGGGCCCUUUGCUCCUGAGUGGAGGGGACCCUUCUGGGAGGGCCUGGGUGGCCAAGGUGCAGACGCACGGAAAUCAGUCCCAAGGAGAGAGAGCAGAGAGGGAGAUGCUCAGAGAUGCUCCUGGGCCCCUGAGAACUGCUCCUGGUAGGCAGCCCGCUGUCCUUUGCAGGGUCUGGCCCCUGCCCUGCAGUCCCUCCCUCCUCUCCUUCCCCUCCCCUCCCCCUCCAGCUCUCCCUGCCUCUGGGGGGGGGGAGCAACUUUCCCUCCCCCAAGCAGGUGCCCACCCACAUGCAGCCUCAGGGCACUCCGAGGCUUCCCCCUACCACCCACUUAGAGGCAGCUGA